CGGCAGCGGUGGGGAGCGGAGCUCCUUGCGGAGCGGAGCUGGAUGCUUGUGGCUGCGCGGAGGUUGCAGUGCACCGUUGGAUAUACAGACAUCAGCCGUCAUGAUCUGUGGCCCUUACUGCUGCCUACUGCCCUCUCUGCUACCACACACAGUAUGAAUCCUUAUGAAUCAUGUCAGAAGACAUCACGUCAUCUUCCCAAGAUGAUUAUACAGAGGAUUUUGAGGAUCUGAAUAGCUUUGAAGAACUGUUUGGGCAGCGCUCUGAGCAUUCAGCAGGGAAAGGAGAUUAGUACGAGAUAACAGUACUCCUAAAAAGAUGACUGCACCAGAGAUGAUUGCAGAGCAAAGCUAUACCUGCCGUUUUACCAACAGAUGCAGGAAGAAUGAGACACCUUUUGGCUGUCAUUGCCAUCAGCAAGGAGCAAAACACCUGCAAAAAAGAUUUGGACUUCUGGGAUAUCCUUGACAUCAACCUGCAAAGUGGCCCACGCUUGGAGGGCCACCCGGCCUCUCGCCAGUGCCAGACAUCAGGAUGUUUAAUGAUGUUCUGCAGCACAGUAUGAGCUGGAGCAGUGUAAUGGCUUUGCAGUGAGCCCUCACCUGAAACCUGACUCAGCUCUUCACGUUAAACCAAUACGGCAUCAAUGAGCUUAGCUAAGGAGGCACAGCUGACACCAUUGGCCAUAGCGGACAUCCUGUAAGCAUGUGUGCAUCACACCUUCUGUUGCAUUCCAGCCUGUGGGGACUUUGGAAAAACUUAAAGCUUUUCUAUUAAAGUAAAUAUUGAUGAAUGUCAGUGUUGUACCUCUGUAAUUCUACAUCAGAUGCUGCAAAGCAGUCACACAAUAAA
Molecule: long non-coding RNA, 850 nt
Filed under: Columba livia (rock pigeon)
Lineage: Eukaryota; Metazoa; Chordata; Aves; Columbiformes; Columbidae
Description: partial uncharacterized LOC106145742, transcript variant X1
Source: RNAcentral